RNAcentral lists this ribosomal RNA (525 nucleotides) under uncultured bacterium. RNAcentral describes it as "bacterial SSU rRNA". It matches the Rfam family "Bacterial small subunit ribosomal RNA", at positions 774 to 1296 of the family's 1533-position model. The record is from RNAcentral.
AGUAAAUAGAUACCCCGGUAGUCCACGCCGUAAACAAUGUCGACUUGGAGGUUGUGCCCUUGAGGCGUGGCUUCCGGAGCUAAACGCGUUAAAGUCGACCGCCUGGGGAGUACGGCCGCAAGGUUAAAACUCAAAUGAAUUGACGGGGGCCCGCACAAGCGGUGGAGCAUGUGGUUUAAUUCGAUGCAACGCGAAGAACCUUACCUACUCUUGACAUCCAGAGAACUUAGCAGAGAUGCUUUGGUGCCUUCGGGAACUCUGAGACAGGUGCUGCAUGGCUGUCGUCAGCUCGUGUUGUGAAAUGUUGGGUUAAGUCCCGCAACGAGCGCAACCCUUAUCCUUUGUUGCCAGCGGUCCGGCCGGGAACUCAAAGGAGACUGCCAGUGAUAAACUGGAGGAAGGUGGGGAUGACGUCAAGUCAUCAUGGCCCUUACGAGUAGGGCUACACACGUGCUACAAUGGCGCAUACAAAGAGAAGCGACCUCGCGAGAGCAAGCGGACCUCAUAAAGUGCGUCGUAGUCCGG